CCUACGGGAGGCAGCAGUGAGGAAUAUUGGUCAAUGGACGAGAGUCUGAACCAGCCAAGUAGCGUGAAGGAUGACUUCCCUAUGGGUUGUAACCUUCUUUUAUAUGGGAAUAAAAUGUUCCACGUGUGGGAUUUUGUAUGUACCAUAUGAAUAAGGAUCGGCUAACUCCGUGCCAGCAGCCGCGGUAAUACGGAGGCUCCGAGCGUUAUCCGGAUUUAGUGGGUUUAAAGGGAGAGUAGGUGGAGUGGUAAGUCAGUUGUGAAAGUUUGCGGCUCAACCGUAAAAUUGCAGUUGAAACUGGCAGUCGUGAGUACAGUAGAGGUGGGCGGAAUUCGUGGUGUAGCGGUGAAAUGCUUAGAUAGCACGAAGAACUCCGAUUGCGAAGGCAGUUCACUGGACUGCAACUGACACUGAGGCUCGAAAGUGUGGGUAUCAAACAGGAUUAGAUACCCUUGUAGUC
Molecule: ribosomal RNA, 460 nt
Filed under: uncultured bacterium
Lineage: Bacteria
Description: partial 16S ribosomal RNA
Rfam family: Bacterial small subunit ribosomal RNA
Source: RNAcentral